GUCGUCUUGGGUGCAUAGUGUCUGAAUCUCUUAUGGCGAUGGGGUAAGGUUUGGGGUGCUUGAGUUCCUGACAAGCUUCCAUUUAAAUUUGCCCCAUUGACAAAAGACUUUUUCAAUGAUGGUAGGAAGUUUGAGGGGGCAGAAAAUUGAUGCACAUGUUUGGGGGUUCAUUAUCUCCAUAGGUUCACGGUCAAACCAGGUGAUAGAGUAGGAGCCCACAAUCUUGGCAUUGGUUCC
RNAcentral lists this long non-coding RNA (237 nucleotides) under Elaeis guineensis (African oil palm). Its description in RNAcentral is "long non-coding RNA (EGUI_LNC001356)". Lineage: Eukaryota; Viridiplantae; Streptophyta; Magnoliopsida; Arecales; Arecaceae. The record is from RNAcentral.